UGCUUUUCGUCUCUGUGGCUGUGCGUGUUCUGGACACUUCAUGUAAAUGGAACCAUACAGUGUGUGGCCUUCGUGUGUCUGGCUCCUUUUGGCUCACAGCUGGAGGGAAUUUGCCUCAGGAUGAAUCGUGUCUUGAGUCUCAUGCGUAGCUGAUUCAAAUGGGAUUCUGGACUUUGGACUUACGAGUUGGUGCUGGAAUGAGUUAAGGGAGAGGCAGACAGAGGAGGUGACCACACCGACCACAUGCACUGAGAAGACAUGAAGACAGCGGGGAGGGCUUGGAAGAGGCCGGCCUUGAAGAUUGGAGUGA
Non-coding RNA from Microcebus murinus (gray mouse lemur), 310 nucleotides. Lineage: Eukaryota; Metazoa; Chordata; Mammalia; Primates; Cheirogaleidae. The record is from RefSeq and is a predicted model, not a curated record.